GCAGUUAUAAUCGCAGCAUCAAAUAAAGCUAAACUUUAACUAGGUGAUGAUCAUGGAUUCUAAUUAGGUCAUAUUACAAGCACAUGCACGUCAAUCGAUCAAUUGGUCUUCAACUCUUGAAUUGGUUCCAAGCCUCCUUAAUUCGAUCCUUGAUCAACUCUUGAUCCAAUCGCCAUCAACCGCUUAGAUCGUCGUUCAUCUCAUGCC
RNAcentral lists this long non-coding RNA (207 nucleotides) under Phoenix dactylifera (date palm). RNAcentral's name for it is "long non-coding RNA (PDAC_LNC015569)". Lineage: Eukaryota; Viridiplantae; Streptophyta; Magnoliopsida; Arecales; Arecaceae. The record is from RNAcentral.